GAAAAUGGCAUGGUUCUGGAGUUGGCUCAAAAGCAUUUCAUUCUUAUCGUACCAUCAUUACCAUGACUCUGAUAUCAGUUUGAAAAUUAAUAUGAAGCUUCAAAGACAAGCCCGCUAAUCGGCCUUCUUUCUCCUACAUUGUGGAAGCAUUGAGGCAACUACUUGUGAAAUCUACAUCUCCGCAAUCUAGGUCCCAACUCUGAUAAUUUAUCUACCACAGUUUAUACACGUGUCAUCCUAUUGAUGUCGAUAUGGUGAUAGUCUCCAUCUUCUAAUGUACAGAUAUAUCAUUCUUAUAUCACCGUUUAAUUGAAUGGGGAGAAUUCUGAUGAAUUGUUGUAAAGUUUUACCCAGUUAGAAUACAUCCAAAAUUUUGAAACUUGAUGUGAGAUCAUAGCUGAAAUCUUUUGGAUUAGAUCGAUGGUUGGCAUGAAUGGAUUAAACAUUACUACCUUUUAAAA
Molecule: non-coding RNA, 461 nt
Organism: Carica papaya (papaya)
Lineage: Eukaryota; Viridiplantae; Streptophyta; Magnoliopsida; Brassicales; Caricaceae
Source: RefSeq, a predicted model, not a curated record